This 256-nucleotide ribosomal RNA is filed under the name uncultured bacterium. Its description in RNAcentral is "partial 16S ribosomal RNA". It matches the Rfam family "Bacterial small subunit ribosomal RNA", at positions 15 to 266 of the family's 1533-position model. The record is from RNAcentral.
GAUCCUGGCUCAGGAUGAACGCUAGCGACAGGCUUAACACAUGCAAGUCGAGGGGCAGCGGGGAGUAGCAAUACUUCGCCGGCGACCGGCGCACGGGUGAGUAACACGUGUGCAACCAACCCCGUACCGGGAGAUAACCCGCGGAAACGUGGACUAACAUCCCAUAACACUGUAUCAUCGCAUGGUGAUGCAUUUAAAAUUCCGGUGGUACGGGACGGGCACGCGCGACAUUAGGUAGUUGGCGGGGUAACGGCCC